This 1046-nucleotide long non-coding RNA is filed under the name Strigops habroptila (Kakapo). RNAcentral's name for it is "lncRNA (ENSSHBG00005011740.1)". The record is from RNAcentral. Lineage: Eukaryota; Metazoa; Chordata; Aves; Psittaciformes; Psittacidae.
CUUUGAUACUCUAAGUUUAUUUCAAAACAGGAAGACUGGACAUCUGCCAAUUAAUUUCAUAGAAUUACCUGCAAAACGUUGAGAGGGCCGUGUGAGAUAUGUUUGAUGGUGUUACACUGCAUCGAAAAAGAACACUUCAUUAUCUCUGAAGCUAAAGUUAAGGGGAAGCACAGGCUAAAUAUGUGUGAAAUGUUUCUCAAACUGAAAUUAUCAAACCCCACAAAAUAAAGAAGUGAGAAAGUAAUGUGCAUGGGAUGCUCGUCGACUAUGAAAAAAAUCUGUUAGCUGCAAGAUGAAGGUUUCAUUGCAGCUUCUGGAGUAAAGUGAACAGAAUCAAAGUAACUGCUUUUAGAUAACCUGGAAAACAAUAAUAAGACAGAUCAAUUGUCUUCAGAACCCUUUCAGUUCUUAUGUCUAUGUGAAACCAAGUAAAAGUGAUGUAUGGUGAAACAGUACUAAAAUAAAUUAAAAUGGUUAAAUGGGUGGAAAAGUUACUUAGGAAGUACCAUAAUUUUGGCAGGCAUUCAACCAGUUUUGACUCACAAGUGAUGAACAUUUCAGAGAAAAGAAUAUGCCAUUAAGCACGUCAACUUUAGAAUAAGGCAGAAGAAGAGAUUCCUAAUUUAUACCGCUCCCUCACUUCACCGUUUUUCUGAUUCUGCUGGUGCUUUCACUCAGUCUUUACCCUGGUCCAUGACUCCAGGAAGAUGCUGUGGUCCCCGGCACAUGGAUGGGCAGCAAACCAACCCAGUCUAUGAAGGUGCUUUAGGUGGUAACAGCACAGUACAUUUACAUUUUAAUCUUCAGUAUGCAUACCGGCACUGUGUCUUGGUGUCUGUGACAAGCCCACACGAGAAGCUGUGCGCACACUUCCCCGGAGCACACCGCAAGAGGGCAAACAUCCCCUGUGGAACCGAUCCCAUCCCUCGCGGUACAAAGCCCCGCGCACAACUUAACCGCGAACCACCGCCCGUGUCCCCGUACACACCGACCUGCCACCGGACCCCGCGUCCCGCCUCCGUCCCGGCCUCCCCUCGGCGGGCCCC